UUGGUAUUUACUCCAAAAGCUCGAACUGCAGGCAGAUACAACCCGAUCAUCACGGUAAACAAUACUCGCGGCACGAUGCAGGGUCCCUCUGCCUAGGGAGGAAGGCAGAACGCUGGAUUCAAGGUGCAUCCAAAAUACAUCUGUAGAUUUCUGCGCAUAGGACUUCCUCCUCCAUUUUUGCAGAGUUCACGUGAUUCACUCUUCUUGCCUGGUUCAGAGGUCUGGUUGGCUCGCGCUGUCGGAAUGCUGCGGUGCCCGUGGGGGCUCCUGCGGCUCCCUCCCCUAUACCAGGGGAGGCCCCGGCGUCCUGCGCUGUGUUUGCACCGCUUCCUGCGUGUAGGCCCCUGGUCCUCGCACGCUGGUCCGCAGCGCCCCGAGGGUGUUUUAAGAGCCCGCCGGUGUGUUACUGUUGGAUAACGGCUGUGAUGAGAAGUGAAGAGCUGCGUCCUUUCUCCCUGGCUACUGUGGUUUUUGUUAACGCAGAGGAUAUCUCCUAUCUGGUGUGGGGCAGAUCCUAGGAGCUUCCAUCUAGCUUUCCUGCAUUAACCUGUGUGAGCAGCUGUCAACUGGAGGAAAGAAACUGCCCAGAAAUUUUGAGAUGCUUAAGUAUUUUUAGAUCAGUUAGACUUUUUUAACACAAAUACUUGUUUUUAUCAAAAGAAUUCCAAUAAAAUAUUUUAAA
Molecule: long non-coding RNA, 682 nt
Organism: Zalophus californianus (California sea lion)
Lineage: Eukaryota; Metazoa; Chordata; Mammalia; Carnivora; Otariidae
Exons: 3
Source: RefSeq, a predicted model, not a curated record